CGGGGGUCUGGGGCUUUCAAGUCUUGCCCCGAGUCAGGGGAGUGUUCUUGGCUGAAGGAGAAGGGCACACUGAGGCUGGCAUAGUCUGCUUACUACCUGUGCGACGGACGAUGUUACUCUCCUGCUGCUAGUUUGCUUGUCGUGUGGUUUCGGGGCUUGCUUUUUUUUUUUAAAGGCGUUUUCCCAAUGUGGACGGAGGAGGUCUGCUUAGCUGCUUAUUAGGCUCGCCUUGAUUGUGGUGGCUUUCCUAAUCCGUUGCUCCCGAGGUUUCACCUCUGCUACUAAUAGUUUGCCUGCUUCCAAGCAGGGGGUCUACUGGCUUGGCUGGUCCCAGUGCCUGGGCAUCCUGUAAGGCUGACAUACCCUGCAGACCCUGGAAAACUCCCGUGAGCUAGGUUGGUAACAUGGAUCCGCCCGAGCCCACUCUCGCCUUGUGCGAAUGUGAAGGUUGUUUGUCGCCCCUGCCUCAAGGAGACAAUCAUCCUUUCUGCCUCCACCAUGCAGCCUGUUGGGUCGGUGACACCUACGACCCGGAGUCUUGCGAGACUUGUUCCCCGCUUGUGUUUCAGUUAACCCAUUCCUCAUCUGCAAAUGAUAGGAUUCAGGCUGCGGCAGCAUUGCAUGCUCACUUCUCUCUCAUGCAACGUGCCAGGUUGAUUGCCCGGUUGAAGGCCCCAGAGCUGCCCCGUUUGGGGUUUAGGGACCGGGAUUUGGGGCCAUUGCUCGCUUCAAUCUUGGUUCCAUCCAUGCCCCUGCUUCCUUCCCAGAUGGGCGUGGUUCGCUCUGUUCCUCUUCCGGCUCCCAAACGCCUGAGGGUUUCAAUGUCAGGGCAGUGUUUAGAUCGAGAUGAGACUCGUGUGGCUUCGGGGGCUGCCCCUUCAGAUUCCGGCGCGGAAGUGGCUGAGCCCGCUCUUCCUGCUAAGGCUUCCAGUUCAUCCCAGCCACCUAACGUAUCGAAAGCCUUUCCCUUGGACUCUACCUUUUCUUCAGGGGUGGUGGGCGCGGAAGAGGACUCUGCCUCAAGGCCUGUGUUGGGGGUUCCCCGGGCUCGGGGGGAAUCUGCUUGGAGUGCUUGGGCUCCUUUUGACCCUGCUUGGGCCCUUGUGCCUUCUGGGCAGGGAUUGUUGCUGCAGGGGAAGGGUUUUUCGUAUCCUCCUUCCCUGUAUGAAUUUGAGUUGGAUGCGGCUCCACCCCGAGUUCGUUUCCGGGUGCCUUUGGGUUCCUUGAAUUCAUCUUUCCGGAGGUUUCCUCCUUGUCGGAUUUCCCCUGGGGAGGUUCGGAAGGCCCUUGGUGCGUACCUCCUGCGAGACCCAGUUUACGCCUCUGUAAUGGAUCCAUCUUCUUUUGAGUUUGGUUCUUCUUUCCCAUAUUGGGUGCGUUAUGAAGUUCCCGAGUCUUCCUUGCUGGCAGACUGCCCUCUUUUCUCUCUCAAAGCUUGGCGUGGCUUUUGUCGUACCCGUAAGCUGAAUUCGCAGGAGGUUUCAUCUGAGGUGCAGGUGUUCUUGGGGGGCUCGCUCGAGUUCCUCAAUGAGUGCCUCUUCGCUCCUAUGCUUCCUCGUGAUGUGGGUCUGGUGCAGUUGCAUGCUCAAGUUCCAACUCUUUCAGUUGCUUUGGCGGCUGAGGACCUCCGGACUCGCAGUCAUUUGGCUUCGGUCCUGCGUUUUUUUGGUCUUCUGGAGCUCCACUCAAAAUUUCUUUCUGAGGAUGUAGGGGCGUUGAGUGAGGGGCCUUCGACUGGGGUUCUGGUGUUGGCUGCUCGGGCAUCAUCUGCCUUGCUUAAGCUGUUUGCACCGAUCCUCCGGGAGGCGGUUUCAACGUUCUUCUCCUCUCGCCUCGCAUGUCGGCAGGCUGUGCUGGCUCUGUCUCCGAAUUCGGCUUGGGCCCUGGCUCUGCAGUCGUCUUCGCCAUUCUGUCCUCUGUUGUUCCCGGAGGAUGUUGUGGCUCAGUUUCUUUCGGUGAUUUCAACUAGUUGCCGUCCUGUUUCGGACUUGUUUGUGGUACGGGGGAGCCGUUCUCGUUCAUCUCGAUUUGGUCGUACCAGGGCUCGGGUCUCGGUUGGUCGAGGUAGACCUUUGGUGCCAGUGGUUGCGUCAGUGGGCUUUCCUGAACCUUCGUCAUCUGGUUGGCGCGGUGUUCGGUCUGUGCGCCAAAAGGCUUCUCGGCGUUUGCAUCGGCCCUUUCGCAGGUCGCCCCGUUAACGGGGCAUUGGGGGGAGGCUGGCUCUUUUUUGCCUGUGCUUGGUCAUGUGAUUUGUGGGCUUUUUGGGUCGUUUCUUCCAAACUCUGGUGGCGUUGGGUGGAUCAUCCCGCCAUGGGAGGGUUGGGCCUGAGGGGGCAGCCUUCUUCCCUGUCCCUCAGUCGGGUCAUCUUGGAGUGGCUUCGCUUGGGCGUGGUCAAAACAACUUCAUCUCUCAAGUGGAUUUUCUGUUUGUUUCCAGAUCUGAAAUGAGACUGUGCGGAUCUCCGGUACAUUCUGGACUUUCCUGAACCGGUUGAUUCCUUGCCCUUCUUUUUGGAUGAUCACACAAUCCCAGGUCCAGCUCGUUCUCGAGCCAGGCACUUGGAUGGUUUCCCUGAAUCUCUGGGAUGCUUAUUGGCACAUCCCUAUUCAUCCGGGAUUCAGGGAUUAGUUGGGGUUCCAGGUGGGGCGACAGGCUUACCGCUAUCUUACCUGCUUUUCGGCUUGCAUCCUGCAACUCGCAUUUUUACGUGUCUCACUCGGAUGGUAGUAGCCCAUAUGUGUCUGCUAGGUCUUCGGGUGUUGGCCUACCUUGACGAUUGGUUGGUGUGGGCUCCCAGCCAGUCUGCUUGUCUGCUAGCCAGGGAUCUGGUUCUUUAAGCACCUUAAGAAGCACCUCAAGGUUUACCAGCUUGCCGGGUUCGGGUUCCUGGUUAAUUGGCAGAAGUCCCAAUUGGUUCUGUCCCAGGUUCGGACUUGGCUGGGCCUCGUAUGAGAUUCUUGGACAUUGUCCAUCUCUCUCCCUUCUGUGGCUCUGCUCUGGUUGCAGUCUGGCUUCAGUUGUUUUUGAGGGAGACCCAGGUCACUCAGGAGUUGCUUGAGCGGCUGUGCCGGUACUGUAUCUUCGGAGUCGCCACUUUCGCCGCACUUGCGACUGUUUGGUUUGCACCCUGGGGUCCUUGUGUAGGUUGCUGCAUCACCAGCUUCCACUUUGGGUUUUUCGGGGUUCGGUCACUAGUUCGGGCAGGGGCGCUGGGGUAGUCCUUCGGCCAGGCUUACAGCACGGUGCGGGUGUUUGCGUUGGUGUGCUGGAUUCAGCUUCCUUGGGGCUCUUUGAUCUGGCUCCAUUCGGACUGAUCAUUGUCUCAACCGUGAGGGGAUCUUUUUGGUUCAUGGCUCUUUGGAGCCAGUCGCUUCGGGUAGCUCUUCUGCUGAGUUCUCGGGGUUUAGCUCUCCAUGUUGUUUACAGUCAAGGCGUGUCCAACAUUCUGGCAGAGAUGGCCUGGCCCGUUUCGUUCCUCUUUCCACAGAGUGAACAGUCGACACCGCAUCCUUCCUUUGCCUUUGCUGGAUGUAUGGGAAGCCGAAGGUGGACCCAUUGAACAUGGUGCCAUUCCCUGACUGCGAGUGUGUUGCUCCUGGUCCUGGCUCGCUUAAAAUCCUAUCAGGGGAGAGUUCUUCUCCUGGCUCCAUGGUGUCUGGCCCAGCCUUGGUUUCAAGUGCUGCUUGCUCGGUGUCCGAACCCGGGCAUCUUUACAUGGCUCUGCCUCUACCAGCAGAUAGAGGCAGUGAGGCACCUUGCUGGUACGCGUUACUGUUCCGUACUUCGUGUCUGGUCUUUCUGAUGCGGGUGUAUUGCUAUUUCUAUGGUCUUCAGGUGGCUUCUUUGAUGGUAUCCCACCUAUGGUCGUCUUGGUGACAGCAUGAAGUCUCUUGGCGGUCUUUCUAUUAUUUUCAUUCUUUUCGAGGGUUUUCAUCAAUUUCGAACUAGGUUGUUUUGUUCUUUCUUUCAUGGCCUGGUUGAGGACUGGGUCGCGGGAACGUUGAAUUUCGCUUCUAUCGUGCGAUGUUGGCGGAGCCGCUCUAGCUUGCAUUCAGGGUGGAUGUUACUUCUGCCCCUUUCUGCAAGAGUUCAUGUGCGUUUUUACACCUCUGGCCUGCUCGUGCGCCACCUGAGCCUUCCUGGUCUUUGGACCGGGUUCUUUCUUUACUUCUCCUCGUUUUGUGGCGGCCCCCUUUGGUUGGCGAUUGUUUUUGGAAGGCCACAAACAUUUUUGUGGCCUUCCAGAAAAGAAGUUGGCCUUUUUUUUUUUUUUGACUUGGAAUCUUAGGCUCCAGUUGAGGAGCUUCAGGCUCUCCUCCGGUGCUGAGGGUUCUGUUCAUUUGGUCCGGGUGGUCAUUUUGUUUGGCUGCAGGCUUCUCCUUCUUUUCUGGCAAAGAAUGAGACGGCAGGGCAUAACAUGUUGUGUCUGGUGGCGGCUUUACGCCGCUACCUGCAGGCCACUGGUUCGGUGACAGUGGACAAUCUUUGGGUGGAUCCAGUUUCCCCGGGCUCGUGUCUCAGGUUGUCCGCAGUGUCAAAAGUUCCAGCCAGCCUGUGGUCUACCCUCGUGUCAGUGAAAUAUGGAAGUAUGCGGCGCUUGCCACGGUUUUUGGGAACAUGUCUUGGGUUGACAUUCUUGGCGUGGGGGUUUUGGAGGUUGAAUAGGGUCCUGGCUGCCAGAUAUCUAGUGAAUGUUCCGGGCCCUUUCCGGCCUGAUGCUGCAGCUGUCGGUCUCUUCUUUGACUUGAGCCCUUCUGUGUUGCUGCUUCUCUGGAACAUUUCUGAGCUGAAAUAAUGUACUGAACAAACUAAGCAAGAAUCUAUGUAACAACAGGAAGAAAAGUUAUUCUGAUUCAUUAAAACUGAAAAUAUUUGCAUUGUAUAUCUUUUAGUACAAUAAUACUCUACACACUUCAUUACA
Procambarus clarkii (red swamp crayfish) is the source of this 4922-nucleotide non-coding RNA. The record is from RefSeq and is a predicted model, not a curated record. NCBI's taxonomy places the organism in Eukaryota, Metazoa, Arthropoda, Malacostraca, Decapoda, Cambaridae.